UACAGAGGGGGCAAGCGUUGUUCGGAAUUACUGGGCGUAAAGGGCGCGUAGGCGGCCUGCUAAGUCGAACGUGAAAUCCCUGGGCUCAACCCAGGAACUGCAUUCGAGACUGCAUUGCUAGAGUAUGGGAGAGGGAAGUGGAAUUUCCGGUGUAGCGGUGAAAUGCGUAGAUAUCGGAAGGAACAUCAGUGGCGAAAGCGGCGCGCUGGACCUCUUCUGACGCUGAGGCGCGAAAGCCAGGGGAGCAAACGGG
This 253-nucleotide ribosomal RNA is filed under the name uncultured bacterium. Its description in RNAcentral is "partial 16S ribosomal RNA". It matches the Rfam family "Bacterial small subunit ribosomal RNA", at positions 524 to 776 of the family's 1533-position model. The record is from RNAcentral.